Fukomys damarensis (Damara mole-rat) is the source of this 2051-nucleotide long non-coding RNA. The record is from Ensembl. Lineage: Eukaryota; Metazoa; Chordata; Mammalia; Rodentia; Bathyergidae.
GUGAGCUCUACGCUUCAGCAACAAGACCCUGUAGAUCUGGAGAGCACUGGGACUGAGGGGAGCAUUUCUAUGGACUUGGAGCCUUCCAUAUACUAUUCUCAGCCUCUGAUGAGACCAAUAAUCAAGCAAGAAAUCUCAAAUUCCAUGAGUACUUCUGAAGAACGGGGUGGUCCUUUGGGGCCAGUCUCCUCCAGGCACGCCUUCCUGCCGUGGGCAAACCCGAAAUUUGAGCAACAAUUCUCUGCGGGUCCAGAGAGUGUUGCCAUCCAAGGGCAUAUUCCUGGGGAGCUUCCCAGACAUCUUCCCCAGGCCACUAUGAGACAGAAGGUCCAGACCAUGUUCUCAAGUCUCGAGGGUGCUACUGUUGAGGGAGGCAUUUCCGAGGAGGAGUCACUGUCUCCCACACAUCCCUCCCAUUUCUUAGUGAGAUCUAAAGUUCAGGAAAUGCCCUCAACCCUAGAGAGUGCUGCUGCUGCUGAAGAAAGCAUUUCUAAGAAAUUACGGCUUCUGAAGAGUCCUUCCCACUCAUUCCUGAAGUUCAUGGCACAGCAAAUCUUUUCAGAUAGCUCUAGUACUGAGAGGGGAAUUUAUGUGCGUCCUCCGUCUCCAAGUCUCCCUUCCAAAUCUUUGUUGAGGCCUGAAGUUGAGCACCAAGUUUUCUCAGGUUGGGAGAAUCUCGACAUUGCUGAAAGCAUUUCUUUGAAGCAUGCUUUAAAGUCCCUGGGGAGGCCUGCAGACCCACAGGAAAGUCUGUCAUUUUCAGAGAGGGCUCCUAUGAAACAGAGCAGUUCUAAAUGGCAGGUACCUUCCUGGCAUUCCCCAGGGAGCCUUAGGUACCAGCCAGACGUCUCCUCAGUUUCUGGCAUCUCUUCUGAAGAAUGGAGGAGCUAUGAAGAGCAGCUGCCUUCCAGACACCCUUCUGAAGCCUUAGGUGGGUUUGAAUUCCUGCCACCAGCAGGCUCAGUGAAUGUCCCUGUUCAGUGGAGCAACCUCGGGGAACACCAACCUCCUAGGCAUUUGCCCCAAGCUUUUGCAAAUGCUGAGUAUCAGCAGCAGGUUUAUCCAGGUGCCAUGAGUGCCGCUGCCGACGUCACCAUCUUUGAGAACAAUUCUGGAAGCUGGUUCCCACCAAAAGGCCCAGUUUCACCAACGAAAACCAAGAAACACAGCCAAGGCUCCGAAGAUUUCACUCAAAGCAUCUCAACCUCAGCUCCUAAGCCAGGGAAGUUUAUCACUGCUCGUACCUGGAAAAUACCCUUUUCUAGGGAUACUUACUAUAAGGGGGAAAUUCUUCAGAGCGGUGAUAGAAGUAAUGAUGAUCAUUCACAUUUGCUCACCAGUGAAGCUGAAGCUGAUGUGGAAAAUCUUCCUGGAAUCCAACAGAAAAGAAUGUCUUCUCCACACAGCUAUAAGAAGGAGAGACCAGCUAGCUUUACCCAGCUUCCUUCACUGCCCUUGGGCCCAAUUUCAUCCAGUAGAGGCAGAGAGCAGCAAAUGAGAAGAGGUGCUUCCCAGGCGUUCCUGGACACCACAGACAGUCUCACCACACCACCUACCCGUGUGGAGAAGUAUCAGAGCAGGGCCAAAUAUGAAGGCGUGGCCAAGAAGCAACCAACUUACAAGAUCCCAGGAAAACCUGUCCGGCAAUCAGAUUAUUACGUCUCAGAUCCAGCUUGGUUUACCAUGGCAAGGCAGAAACACGAGGGCUCCCAGGUGUACACUCCUGUGAAAGAGACCAAGACCAAGAGCAGAGCUGGACCCAAGACUGACACUAAGGAGUAUAGACAUGGAACAAGACCCGAGGCAGCCCAGAAAACACCCCAGAAGGUUGCUGGAGCCACUGAUUGAGCUUCCAUUGGGGAUUUGCCAGACAUGCAGCAACCCCCCCCCACCACCAAACCAAUUUGAGAGUAUUAAUCAAGUCAAGGAGACACUUCAGGGGACAAGACUAGGCUUUGUACUUACAUAAAUAUAACCUGCUUUAUGCAGUUAAUGGGUUUAUGAAAAGUAACUAAUACAGGGGGAGGGGAGGAUUUUAUAUCAAAUCCUGU